Molecule: unclassified non-coding RNA, 148 nt
Organism: Macaca fascicularis (crab-eating macaque)
Lineage: Eukaryota; Metazoa; Chordata; Mammalia; Primates; Cercopithecidae
Rfam family: Metazoan signal recognition particle RNA
About the family: The signal recognition particle (SRP) is a universally conserved ribonucleoprotein. It is involved in the co-translational targeting of proteins to membranes. The eukaryotic SRP consists of a 300-nucleotide 7S RNA and six proteins: SRPs 72, 68, 54, 19, 14, and 9.
Source: Ensembl
GCUGGGCAUGGUGGUGAGUGCCUGUAAUCCCAGCUACUUGGGAGGCUGGGGUAGGAGAAUCACUUGAACCCAGGAGGUGGAGGUUGCAGUGAGCCGAGAUCUCACCACUGCACUCCAGCCUGGGUGACAGAGUGAGACUCUGUCUCAA